UACGUAGAGGGCAAGCGUUAUCCGGAUUUACUGGGUGUAAAGGGAGCGUAGACGGCUGUGCAAGUCUGAAGUGAAAGGCAUGGGCUCAACCUGUGGACUGCUUUGGAAACUGUGCAGCUAGAGUGUCGGAGAGGUAAGUGGAAUUCCUAGUGUAGCGGUGAAAUGCGUAGAUAUUAGGAGGAACACCAGUGGCGAAGGCGGCUUACUGGACGAUGACUGACGUUGAGGCUCGAAAGCGUGGGGAGCAAACAGG
RNAcentral lists this ribosomal RNA (253 nucleotides) under Dorea formicigenerans. RNAcentral describes it as "partial 16S ribosomal RNA". It matches the Rfam family "Bacterial small subunit ribosomal RNA", at positions 524 to 776 of the family's 1533-position model. Lineage: Bacteria; Bacillati; Bacillota; Clostridia; Lachnospirales; Lachnospiraceae. The record is from RNAcentral.